Molecule: ribosomal RNA, 490 nt
Filed under: uncultured bacterium
Lineage: Bacteria
Description: bacterial SSU rRNA
Rfam family: Bacterial small subunit ribosomal RNA
Source: RNAcentral
GACGAACGCUGGCGGCGUGCCUAACACAUGCAAGUCGUACGAGAAAGUUGGCUUCGGCCGAUGAGUAAAGUGGCGCACGGGUGAGUAACGCGUGGAUAAUCUGCCUUUUAGUUGGGAAUAACGUACCGAAAGGUGCGCUAAUACCGAAUAAUACUGAAUGACAUCAGUUGUGUAGUCAAAGAAGGCCUCUGUUUACAAGCUUUUGCUGAAGGAUGAGUCCGCGUACCAUUAGCUGGUUGGUGGGGUAAUGGCCUACCAAGGCUACGAUGGUUAGCUGGUCUGAGAGGAUGAUCAGCCACACUGGAACUGAGACACGGUCCAGACUCCUACGGGAGGCAGCAGUGAGGAAUAUUGCGCAAUGGGGGCAACCCUGACGCAGCAACGCCGCGUGAGUGAGGAAGGUUUUCGGACCGUAAAGCUCUGUCGAGCGGGAAGAAAUGCAUGGUGGCUAAUAUCCAUCAUGCUUGACGGUACCGCUAAAGGAAGCACC